GAUGAACGCUGGCGGCGUGCCUAAUACAUGCAAGUCGAGCGAACAGACGAGGAGCUUGCUCCUCUGACGUUAGCGGCGGACGGGUGAGUAACACGUGGAUAACCUACCUAUAAGACUGGGAUAACUUCGGGAAACCGGAGCUAAUACCGGAUAAUAUAUUGAACCGCAUGGUUCAAUAGUGAAAGACGGUUUUGCUGUCACUUAUAGAUGGAUCCGCGCCGCAUUAGCUAGUUGGUAAGGUAACGGCUUACCAAGGCAACGAUGCGUAGCCGACCUGAGAGGGUGAUCGGCCACACUGGAACUGAGACACGGUCCAGACUCCUACGGGAGGCAGCAGUAGGGAAUCUUCCGCAAAGGGCGAAAGCCUGACGGAGCAACGCCGCGUGAGUGAUGAAGGUCUUCGGAUCGUAAAGCUCUGUUAUUAGGGAAGAACAAAUGUGUAAGUAACUAUGCACGUCUUGACGGUACCUAAUCAGAAAGCCCCGGCUAACUACGUG
Molecule: ribosomal RNA, 497 nt
Filed under: uncultured bacterium
Lineage: Bacteria
Description: partial 16S ribosomal RNA
Rfam family: Bacterial small subunit ribosomal RNA
Source: RNAcentral